AAAAGGACCUUUGAACCUCUCUCAAGAAGCCGCUUGACAUCCAGCUCAUAAGAGCACAACAAUCACAACGAUUUCCAGUUAAUCAUGAAAUGUGUAAAAUGUCAGCCUCCAGCCGACAGUUAAGCUCAGCCACUUCGUGAAAUGGCCACACGUCUUGCUUACCUUCCACCAGGGAGGGUGCGGAGAGCUUCUCAUAGCCGGAACAGACGCCCAGAAGAGGAUCUCUGCGCCUGGGACAGAAAAGAAAUGCCAGGAGGGACCGAGGAGGGAUGGGGCAAUUUGGGGUGGAAGUUAUUAAGCCUGGUGAGAGUGAAUCUGCAAAGGGUGAUUGUCUUUAAAUCCAGGACUGCUGUGUGCAGCUCUGCGCGAACAGGGAUGGACGCUGUUUGAGUACAGGGCUCCGGACAACCUUGUUGGACGUCGAUUCAAUCAAAACCAAGGAGAAGCUUCAUGAACUGCAGAAUAAACAAUUCUGCAGAUUUUUAAUUUAAUUUUUAAAGAUAAGUCAAAGGAAAAGAACACAAAGAAGGUGCUUCAGAAGGAACUUCAGAAAUAAACCCCUUAUUUCCGGUUGAAUUUUUUAUGUUUCGUCUUUCCUUUUCUCCUCUUCCUCCUUUUUGUUUUCCUUUUUUCUUUCCUUCAUUUCCCUUUUCGUUCCUUCCUUUCUCUCUCCAUUCCUUUCUUCCCCUUUAAAUGUUAACCUUAAAUCAUACACAAUCUAUACAGAUUUUUCACUAGGAGCAUCAGCAAAGAUUUUCUUCUUUGCUUCCAGAGCUAGUUAGGAGAUGAGAAGGGAUUUUUCUUAAUCUUAUUGUGUGGUGGGACUUGAAACGGGUUCCACACCCCCUGACUUCUAGAACUAAAAUCAGUGCCAGAUCAAUAAUCUGAAAGAUAAAUAUUAUAGACUUGGAAGUUCAGAUUCUCCAGGCACAAGACAUUUAAUUAAUGGAAAUAAUUGUUUUCUCCCUUUCAAAUCAAUAAUUCUGUCAUUGUUAUUACCUAAAGAUCAUUACAACCCAAAUAAAAUGCAUUUGGAAAAAUCUCACUUUUUUUCUCUAAAUGCUUUUAACACCUUUUAAUAUCUUUUUGGUAUAUUAUUGCCUAGUCUAAAAUAAAUAAACUCUGAGAUUUAACAAAACAAAACCU
This 1146-nucleotide long non-coding RNA is filed under the name Homo sapiens (human). RNAcentral's name for it is "HSALNT0107088". Lineage: Eukaryota; Metazoa; Chordata; Mammalia; Primates; Hominidae. The record is from RNAcentral.